Molecule: non-coding RNA, 147 nt
Organism: Glycine max (soybean)
Lineage: Eukaryota; Viridiplantae; Streptophyta; Magnoliopsida; Fabales; Fabaceae
Source: Rfam
CUCUUAAGUGAUGACGUGAUAGACGAAGUGCCACAUCAUCAUGUCUAAUCACUGACAUGUCAUUGAAGGUGAUGGCAUGACAAUGAGGUGUCUAUGACAAGGCAUGAUGAUGUGGCACUCUAAUUGUCACAUCAUCACUUAAUGGAA